AUACCAUUUCUUUUGAAAUCUAAGGGGAUUCGUCACUGCACAGACAGCAAAACAUAUAGUUGUGUUGCCUGCUUGUUUUCCAAUGAUAAACUUACAUGAUAUUUGAUAAAAAUAGAUAAUCAAAAGAGGAAAUUGGCCAACAAAGAUGAAAGUGCAGUGAAAAACCAAAAUGUGAUCAUGCUGGAAAUGAAAUUUUAGUUAAAUGUAAAUGGGAUUCAAGAAAAACAAGUUAACCAUUGGGAUGUGGACACUGAGGCUUUGCAAGAGACUCUAAAAGUGCAGCCAGAGGAACUUAGUGAAGACUUACAUCAUACAUGAGGAAAGUGGCUGUUACAAAAAGGAUAAAGAUGUCCCAGAGGAAGUGACAUAAGCAAAGAGCUUCACAUUUAAGGAAUGCUCUGAGAUAUUUCACAACAUGGAAGGCAUAAAGGAUAAAGUGUUGGACACUGAUUCAAACGAAAAUUCACCAAGGCUCAGAAAAGAUGAUCCCCUGUACCAAGUUAUUUCACUAGAAUAAGACUAUGAGUUUGGCUGGGAAUUCAGCUGCACGUGAUGGAUCAUGCUUACCUUGCCUUCCCCCACCUGCAUGCCUCCCCUUGAAGAAGAUAAGCAUCUUUGGGAGCGAGAAUUUUUAAAUGAGAUUGUUUAUGCAUCAAGGAUGAUGCUUUGAGUCUCAUUUUCAAACUAGACACCUCUGUAAAUUGACCUGAAUGUUCUGUGUGUACACGGGCAUUGACGCAGAGGGAAAACAGCGGUUGCUCAGCAAGCACGUUUCUUCUACUCUGGGAUCUGCAGUACAGGCAGUACUCUCUGCCAAGCAUCUAACUAUUCGUAAAGUCCUUUCAAAAACAUUGUCACCAGAAAAUAAUCUCCAUGACGAGAGGAGGUUUGCCUGAUUUUUGUUUUUCUUUUAGUAUCCACUGUUCCUGUGAUAGUGCUUGGCACAUAGGAACUGCUCAAUUCAUAUUGGCUGAAUAAAUGAAUGAAUGAGUUGGUUUCUAUGAGGGUUGAUGUGAUAAGCCCAUUUUGUGGAUGACAAAAAUUGAGAAGUUUAGAUAUGUAAAGUGGUUUCCUAAGCUCACCUAUGCUCCUGAACUAUCCUGAACCCAGGCCCCCUAAUAAGAGUCUACUGGCUUACUCAAAGGCUUAAUGAGCUUAGCUUUCUAUCAUAAAUUGGGCCAUCUCCAGUGGUAGUUGGCGAGCUCCUUAUCAGAUUUCGAACAGGCUUAUUUGCACCUCUGCUGCUGUUAUGACCCUGCAUCAGCUGGACAGUCAAGUUUUGAGGGGCUGGAUGAAUCACAGAUUGGCUGGCUUUCUUACUGCUGAGGCGAUUAAAAACAGCUUUUCACAUUUCAUUUUCUCCGUGUCUCCUCUCACCUCCCCUCCCUUUCUGUGUAUCUUCCAUUCUUCCCAGAUCUCUGAAAUGCCUCUGUCACACAGUUCCUCUCUCUCUCUCCUUGUCCCUCCAGUUGGGAGAAAAGCUGUUGUAUUACCCUGUUCACACAUUGCUAUAUAUAAA
Molecule: non-coding RNA, 1519 nt
Organism: Macaca mulatta (Rhesus monkey)
Lineage: Eukaryota; Metazoa; Chordata; Mammalia; Primates; Cercopithecidae
Source: RefSeq, a predicted model, not a curated record